RNAcentral lists this ribosomal RNA (399 nucleotides) under uncultured bacterium. RNAcentral describes it as "bacterial SSU rRNA". It matches the Rfam family "Bacterial small subunit ribosomal RNA", at positions 358 to 774 of the family's 1533-position model. The record is from RNAcentral.
GGAAUAUUGCGCAAUGGAGGAAACUCUGACGCAGUGACGCCGCGUGCAGGAAGAAGGUUUUCGGAUUGUAAACUGCUUUAGACAGGGAAGAAAAAGACAGUACCUGUAGAAUAAGCUCCGGCUAACUACGUGCCAGCAGCCGCGGUAAUACGUAGGGAGCAAGCGUUAUCCGGAUUUAUUGGGUGUAAAGGGUGCGUAGACGGGAUAAUAAGUUAGUUGUGAAAUCCCCAGGCUCAACUUGGGAACUGCAACUAAAACUGUUAUUCUUGAGUGUUGGAGAGGAAAGUGGAAUUCCUAGUGUAGCGGUGAAAUGCGUAGAUAUUAGGAGGAACACCAGUGGCGAAGGCGACUUUCUGGACAAUAACUGACGUUGAGGCACGAAAGUGUGGGGAGCAAACA